UUGAGCUGGAUGCCGGCCACGUGCUUUGCUGCACGGGCUGGCGUGGCCUCGUGUUGUGUUGGGGGUCUCGCACCUUCUGUGGAAGGUGCCCUGCCUGGCAUGCACGGUGUCUGCUGCCUCAUGGCUGAGCUUCCAUCGGGCCGUGUGCCUGUGACCAGCCUCCUGGGCUCUGUCACGGCUGCGCUGUGGCUGUACGCCGUGGCGCUGCAGGGCUGUGCAUGGUGUGACCCGAAUCCUUUCCAGGAGCUUCGAGAACAACUGGAACAUUUACAAGCUCCUCGCCCACCAGAAGCCCCCUAAGGAGAAGUCUAACUUCUCCCUGGCCAUCCUGAAUGUGGGGGCCCCGGCGGCUGGCAUGAAUGCGGCCGUGCGCUCGGCGGUGCGGACCGGCAUCUCCCACGGACACACAGUAUACGUGGUGCACGAUGGCUUCGAAGGCCUAGCCAAGGGUCAGGUGCAAGAAGUGGGCUGGCACGACGUGGCCGGCUGGUUGGGGCGUGGUGGCUCCAUGCUGGGGACCAAGAGGACCCUGCCCAAGGGCCAGCUGGAGUCCAUCGUGGAGAACAUCCGCAUCUACGGUAUUCACGCCCUGCUGGUGGUCGGCGGGUUCGAGGCCUAUGAAGGGGUGCUGCAGCUGGUGGAGGCUCGCGGGCGCUACGAGGAGCUCUGCAUCGUCAUGUGUGUCAUCCCAGCCACCAUCAGCAACAACGUCCCUGGCACCGACUUCAGCCUGGGCUCUGACACUGCUGUAAAUGCCGCCAUGGAGGGUAGCCAUGCCGACGGCCUACAGGGAAGGGUGGGCACGUGGAGGACCCCCGACCCCCCUUGUCCCCCAGAGCUGUGACCGCAUCAAACAGUCCGCCUCGGGGACCAAGCGCCGUGUGUUCAU
RNAcentral lists this small RNA (889 nucleotides) under Pan troglodytes (chimpanzee). Its description in RNAcentral is "retained intron". Lineage: Eukaryota; Metazoa; Chordata; Mammalia; Primates; Hominidae. The record is from RNAcentral.